This 494-nucleotide ribosomal RNA is filed under the name uncultured bacterium. Its description in RNAcentral is "partial 16S ribosomal RNA". It matches the Rfam family "Bacterial small subunit ribosomal RNA", at positions 30 to 507 of the family's 1533-position model. The record is from RNAcentral.
AUUGAACGCUGGCGGCAUGCUUUACACAUGCAAGUCGAACGGCAGCGGGGAGGAGCUUGCUUCUCUGCCGGCGAGUGGCGAACGGGUGAGUAAUACAUCGGAACGUGUCGAGAAGAGGGGGAUAACCACCCGAAAGGGUGGCUAAUACCGCAUAAAUUCUGCGGAAGAAAGCUGGGGACCUAGGAAUAGGCCUAGCGCUUUUUGAGCGGCCGAUGUCGGAUUAGCUAGUUGGUGAGGUAAAGGCUCACCAGGGCGAAGAUCUGUAGCGGGUCGGAGAGGAUGAUCCGCCACACUGGGACUGAGACACGGCCCAGACUCCUACGGGAGGCAGCAGUGGGGAAUGUUGGACAAUGGGGGCAACCCUGAUCCAGCCAUGCCGCGUGUAUGAAGAAGGCCUUAGGGUUGUAAAGUACUUUUGUUAGGGAAGAAAAGUCAGCUGUGAAUAAUGGCUGAUACUGACGGUACCUAAAGAAUAAGCACCGGCUAACUACGUG